CUACGGGGUGCUGCAGUGAGGAAUAUUGCACAAUGGGGGGAACCCUGAUGCAGCAACGCCGCGUGGAGGAUGACGCAUUUCGGUGUGUAAACUCCUUUUAUAUGUCAAGAAAAUGACGGUAGCAUAUGAAUAAGCACCGGCUAACUCCGUGCCAGCAGCCGCGGUAAUACGGAGGGUGCAAGCGUUACUCGGAAUCACUGGGCGUAGAGGACGCGUAGGCGGAUUGGAAAGUCAGGUGUGAAAUCCUACAGCUUAACUGUAGAACUGCACUUGAAACUUCUAAUCUAGAGUAUGGGAGGGGGAGAUGGAAUUAGUGGUGUAGGGGUAAAAUCCGUAGAUAUCACUAGGAAUACCUAAAGCGAAGGCGAUCUCCUGGAACAUUACUGACGCUAAGGCGUGAAAGCGUGGGGAGCAAACAGGAUUAGAUACCCCUGUAGUC
Molecule: ribosomal RNA, 439 nt
Filed under: uncultured bacterium
Lineage: Bacteria
Description: partial 16S ribosomal RNA
Rfam family: Bacterial small subunit ribosomal RNA
Source: RNAcentral